Molecule: long non-coding RNA, 215 nt
Filed under: Elaeis guineensis (African oil palm)
Lineage: Eukaryota; Viridiplantae; Streptophyta; Magnoliopsida; Arecales; Arecaceae
Description: long non-coding RNA (EGUI_LNC078663)
Source: RNAcentral
UGGUUGCAACUCGAAGGCUCUGACCUCACUUUCAGGGACACACCAUAAUACUGCUCACCGACCAGCCGAUCAAGGUGAUUUUGCAUCGAGCGGAUGCUCUGGGAGGAUAGCGAAGUGGGUAGUCGAGCUCACGGAGUUCGACAUCGACUAUCGACCUCGGUCGGCAAUAAAACCCCAGAUAUUAGCAGACUUCGUGGUGGAAUGCACUAUCCCAG